GACUGACCGAUAGUGAACCAGUACCGUGAGGGAAAGGCGAAAAGAACCCCGGCGAGGGGAGUGAAAAAGAACCUGAAACCGUGUACGUACAAGCAGUGGGAGCCCCACCACCAAAGCAUUCUCUGGUGUUGAAGGCCCUGCAAAGCAGCAUCGCGGUGGCGGAGCGUCGUUUGCGACGCCCAACACACAAAACAAGCGGUGAGUGCUUUGGGGUGGGGUGACUGCGUACCUUUUGUAUAAUGGGUCAGCGACUUAUAUUCUGUAGCAAGGUUAACCGAAUAGGGGAGCCGGAGGGAAACCGAGUCUUAAUUGGGCGUUAA
This 320-nucleotide ribosomal RNA is filed under the name Salmonella enterica subsp. enterica serovar Agona. RNAcentral describes it as "partial 23S ribosomal RNA". It matches the Rfam family "Bacterial large subunit ribosomal RNA", at positions 478 to 698 of the family's 2925-position model. Lineage: Bacteria; Pseudomonadati; Pseudomonadota; Gammaproteobacteria; Enterobacterales; Enterobacteriaceae. The record is from RNAcentral.